RNAcentral lists this unclassified non-coding RNA (307 nucleotides) under plant metagenome. Its description in RNAcentral is "partial contains 5.8S ribosomal RNA, internal transcribed spacer 2, and large subunit ribosomal RNA". The stretch from base 1 to 105 matches the Rfam family "5.8S ribosomal RNA", at positions 50 to 154 of the family's 154-position model. The record is from RNAcentral.
GAAAUGCGAUAAGUAAUGUGAAUUGCAGAAUUCAGUGAAUCAUCGAAUCUUUGAACGCACAUUGCGCCCGCCAGCACUCUGGCGGGCAUGCCUGUCCGAGCGUCAUUUCAACCCUCAGAACCCCUUGCGGGAUCUGGCGUUGGGGAUUGGCAUCCAGCCAGCCCCGAAAUCUAGUGGCGGUCCCUCCGCGACCUCCCCUGUGCAGUAGCGAUACCUCGCAGCGGGACAGCGGUCUGACCACGCCGUAAAACCCCCAACUUCUCAAGGUUGACCUCGAAUCAGGUAGGAAUACCCGCUGAACUUAAGC